GUGCUCUCCUCGACGGUAUUUUAAGGGUCUGAUUAGUUAGCCCUCACGAUAGACAUCAUAUGCUUGCGGUAUCUUAUGCCUAUGGCAUCUUAUGCUCUUCUUAUCUUCGCACAAGAAGCAGCAUGUGCCUGUGGCAUCUUGUGCCUAUGGCAUCUUGUGCUCUCUUCGAUGAUAUUUUGAGGGUCUGAUUAGUUAGCUCUCAUAAGAGGCAUCGUGUGCUUACGGUAUCUCGUGCCUAUGGUAUCUUAUGCUCUUCUCAUCUUCGCAUGAGAGGCAGCAUGUGCCUCCGGCAUCUUAUGCACUCCUCGAUGGCAUUUUGAAGGUCUGAUUAGUUAGCCCUCAUAAGAGACAU
RNAcentral lists this long non-coding RNA (352 nucleotides) under Elaeis guineensis (African oil palm). RNAcentral's name for it is "long non-coding RNA (EGUI_LNC042239)". Lineage: Eukaryota; Viridiplantae; Streptophyta; Magnoliopsida; Arecales; Arecaceae. The record is from RNAcentral.